CCAAUAGCGUAUAUUAAAGUUGCUGCAGUUAAAAAGCUCGUAGUUGAAUUUCGGGACCAAUCUGCCGGUCGUGCCUCCGGUACGCACUGGUUUUAUUGGUUUCUCCCUUCUGACGAACCAUGAUGUCAUUAAUUUGGUGUCAUGGGGAAUCAGGACUGUUACUUUGAAAAAAUUAGAGUGUUUAUAGCAGGCUCACGCUUGAAUACAUUAGCAUGGAAUAAUGAAAUAGGACGUUUGACCCUAUUUUGUUGGUUUCUAGGAUCGACGUAAUGAUUAAUAGGGAUAGUUGGGGGCAUUAGUAUUCAAUUGUCAGAGGUGAAAUUCUUGGAUUUACUGAAGACUAACUACUGCGAAAGCAUUUGCCAAGGAUGUUUUCAUUAAUCAAGAACGAAAGUUAGGGGAUCGAAGACGAUCAGAUACCGUCGUAGUCUUAACCAUAAACUAUGCUGACUAGGGAUCGGAUGAUGUUAAUUUUUUAAUGACUCAUUCGGCGCCUUACG
This 500-nucleotide unclassified non-coding RNA is filed under the name uncultured Glomus. RNAcentral describes it as "SSU rRNA". It matches the Rfam family "Eukaryotic small subunit ribosomal RNA", at positions 591 to 1092 of the family's 1831-position model. Lineage: Eukaryota; Fungi; Glomeromycota; Glomeromycetes; Glomerales; Glomeraceae. The record is from RNAcentral.